UGGGAUCCCACUGAAGAGAAUUGGCCUAUACCGACUCCCAACUGCACUUUAAUUCAUACAUGAGAGAUCCUUUGUUUCUCCCUUUUUGCUUAUUUAUAUAUGUGAGUGUCCACUUCACUUUGGCAAAUCAAGUUAAAGCAUUUCUUUAACUUCGCUCUUUCUCAGCUUGAAAUCGUUUUAGUUCAGUUCAGCCAUGUCCUUCCUCUCCGCCCUACCGGAACCACUCCAUUCCAUUGCACCAGAAAACGGUGGCCCGGAAGUGAUGAUAAGGAUGCAGAAUAGGCCCGAGCCACUUCAUUCUGUCGCACCUAAUCCAGAAAAUGGUGGCAGG
RNAcentral lists this long non-coding RNA (331 nucleotides) under Olea europaea (common olive). RNAcentral describes it as "long non-coding RNA (OEUR_LNC008832)". The record is from RNAcentral. Lineage: Eukaryota; Viridiplantae; Streptophyta; Magnoliopsida; Lamiales; Oleaceae.